GGAUAUUCAAGAACACGGUGGCGGCUCUGAUGACGAUGGAGGAGAUGAGAAGGGGAAGCUCGACUUACAGCCAUUUUUCGCUGCCGCCACUAGACUUGCCUGAUUUUGAUGUUAUUCAAUCCUUGCAACUUCUAUCUCCUAUACAAAUUCCCUGAUUAAGAAUUUUAAUUAUUUGGAUAUUUCACUUGUUUAAUUAGAUAUGUGACAAUUUAAUCCAUCUAAUUAUAAAAAAUGGAGCAUGCAAUGGGAAUAUUCUUAUUUAAUUUGGAUUCCCCUUCCCAUAGUGUUUCAAUGCCACAGUAUAGUACAAUUAAUAAUACUCCCUAGCUAAUAAGUCUUGUAUUGUGAUUUCAAUAAGUUAAUUUUGAGAAAGAAUUCGAAUUACGGAGAAAGCAAAAAGCCCUAAAUAAUGUCGUCGUCCACUUGUUACGCGUGAAGAGCUAAAACAAAGGCUUCUACGGAAGGCGUAAAAUUUAAAUUUAAAUUUUCGAUAUUUGCUCUAGUAACAAAUGCCCGAUACCAACUCUCUUUUAACGAAGCGUUAGAUCCUGAAGUAUAAUGCCUCAAACGAGAUUUAACAAAACACACCAUCCGUAUGCAAUUCAAUUAAAACAAACAAGGCCUUGUUUGAUUAGUCUUGAUUUAUUAAUAUAAAUGUCAAAUUUUCAUUUAUAUGUAUUGUUGUUUACUUUUUCUUUUUUCCCUUCCAAAUGAAAUGACAAAUAUGCCCCUAUGCCAAAUUUAAGCAAAAAAAAAGGGUAAACUACAAUAACCCCCCUGAGGUAAUAUCUAUUUACAAAACCCCCUUCAUUAAUUUACAUAAUUACAUCUACACCUUGCAAUUUGUAGAUUUCUUACAUUAACGCCCUUUGUAGGGUUAGAUGUGAGAAUUUCACAAACCGUAAGGGGGCUGGAUAUAAUUUAUCAAAAAUAAGGGGUUUUUUUCGUGAUGUAAAGUGUAAUUACAAAAUAAACCUUGUGUUUGAGAAAUUACAUACAACCCCUGCAGUUUAUAAAUUUCUUACAUACAACUCUUACAAAAGGAAUAUUACAUACAACCCCUGCAGUUUAUAAAUUUCUUACAUACAACCCCUACAAAAGGAAUAUUACAUACAACCCGUGCCGUUUAUAAAUUUCUUACAUACAACCUCUACAAAAGGAAGUUGAUGUAAGAAAUCUACAAAUUGCAACGAAUGGAUGUAAUUAUAGAAAAUUGAGGGGGGGUUUCGUAAAUAGACAUCACAUCAUGGGGGUGAUUGUAAUAUAAAAAAAAUCACAAUUUCAAUACAUGUUAUGAACAAACAUAUAAAUACAUUCAACUCACAUAUAUCAUCACUUAUAACAAACAUAGUACAUAUCAAAUAUAACUACAACAAAUCCAUUUGGUUUACACAGGGGAAGAUAGUUGCUGCUCUGUUUUAUCAUGGCAUCGAAUUUUGUGUACAAGAGUAUCGAUUCCCGGGCAAAUAAACUUAUAAUACAUGUAAUGAGUUAUAGGCCACAUCCCGAAUAUCACGGACAUAGGUAUCCAGAUUAUAAGAGGCACGUGCGAAUCCGGGUAGGGUAGAAAGAUUAGUGAUAUCUGAGACAACACUGAAAGAAGACCGGAUGCCAGAGCAGCUAACUGUAACACAAGAAACCAAUUACCGUCGGAUUUUAUUUGCGUUAAUUUCUUCAUUGCCUCUGCUAUUAGCCAAUAAACGAAAGUAGACGCGAUAAAACACCACAACGGUAUUACGUUAUCGACGAAAACCUUGUUUGGAUUGUCGUGGUAUUUCAACAUUACAAGGCCGAUUGUAAUACCGGGAAACGUGUAUGUCAUCAAGUACGUGAGCACCGGUGUUCUCCUAAUCGCUUCAUCCUCAUCACUAGUACUGAAACGAAAACAAAAACAUAUGAAAAACAUUAUUACAAGGUUGGUUGACGCAUAUAUAUUAUAUCCAGUUUUCGUUGUUCUUCAUCAUUCCCCGGGCCAAAAAAAUAAAUAAAUAAAUAAAUAAAUCGCAGGGAUUCGCAAGACAAAGCCAUUAAUUAUGACGAAAGACAAGCUAAUUAAUAAAGGUAACAAAAUUCCGCACCUGGAGGCACAGUCGCGACGAGUGUGAUGAUCGCCGUGGCUUGUGUUCGACGGCAUAACCUCUGUUUUCAUGCAAUGAGAGAGGUAUUAUAUCUCAGGCAAACUUACAGAGGGAAGCUUGCUUGGUUGUGUCAAAAGAUGAUGUGUAUUGCAAUUUGGACCAAAUAUAUAUAAUGGGCCAAUUUGUUGAAUGCUCUCAACUGAAGUAGAAUUUAACCAUGUUAUUUAAUCAAUAAGGUAUAAUUAACUAGAAAAUGUCAAAGAGACUAAGGUGGUUAAGCCGGUGUUUGCAACAACUUUUAAAAAUAUAUUAUGAGCUUUUUUUUCUCAUAUAAGGUGGUUAAGCCGGUGUUUGUAAAACUGAUUUUUAUUUUUGCUUCUUUAAAAAUAAGCUGUUUUAAACUAUAAUUUUAAAGGGGCUAUUUGCCAAAACCCCUCCAUUCAAUUUUGAAUUCUUAAUAAAUUAUUUUUUUUAAUUGAUAUUUGUUAUAAAUCCAAUUGAUUCAAAUUAUCUAAAAUACCACUAUUUAUUAUUAGCCAAAGUUACCAUAUUAUAUUAUUAUGGAAAAUCAUUAAAAAAAUUAAAUAUCUAAAUCUCUUAUUUCUCCCCACUAUCUCACCCACCCCCAUAUUCUCUCUCUCUCCCUAUCUCAUGCACCAAAUUUAAUUUUAGUGUUUUUCCAGAAUUUUUUUGUUUUUUUUAAUAGGUUUUUUUUUAUUUCAAAAUUUAAACUAAAACUUGUUAUUUUUUAAUUUUUAAUUUUUAAUUUUUAUUUUAUUUCAGUUUAAUCGUUCAUAUUUUAUAUAAAAAAAAUUCACUACAUAAUAAUCGAAAACCAUUAAAUUUAUCGAAAACCACUAUGAAAAUAAAGUAAAAAUUACUGUAAAAUAAGCAUAAUCCACCUUAAUAUUAAUGUAAUCCCACUAUUAAAUUAGUGUAACCCACUGUUAAAUUAGUGUAAUUCACUACAUGUUCAUAAAAAACGACUAUUAAAUUAGUGAAAUCAACUUAAUUUUUUUUCCACCCGGGUUACAAAAAUUAAAAUCCACUAUAUACUCAUCGAAAACUACUAAAAUUUAUCAAAAACCAUUGUAAAAUUACUGUACAAAUCACUGUAAAAUCACGUAAUCCACUUUACAUUAACAUAAUCCACUAUGUGAAAACCACUAUUUAUAAACAACAAUAUAAAUAUGAAAACUGCUAUGUAUAACAACUAUAUAACAUGAAAACCACUCUAUAUAACAACUAUGUAAACUUGAAAACCACUAUAUAUAACAAUUAUGUCCAUAUAAAAACCACUCUGUAUAAACAGUUAUAUAUUAAUAUGUACAAUAAUUAUUGAAAACCACUAUAAUUUUUGUACAGAUUUUUAUAGUGGUUUAUGUAAAAAAGAGAAUAGCUAUAUGGAGAUCGGCCGAGAGAGAGAGAGAGAGAGAGAGAGAGAGAGAGAGAGAGAGAGAGAGAGAGAGAGAGAGAGAGAGGGGGGGGCAGAGAAAAUGAAAGAAAAAAAAAAGAACCAAAAGAAAUAAAUCUGCUACAAGAAAAGAAACGUAAUAUGUAGGUUAAAAUAUUUAAGGUAUAAGAGCAAUAUAGGAAUAAAAAAAAAUUAGGGAUGUAUGUCAUAUAUGGUUUCAAAUUAAGGAUUUAACUAACAGAUUGGAUUUGGACUUGUUAUUUAGUCCAAAUUAGGUUUGCUUUGAGGGACUCAUAGCAUAUUACCCCUUAAAAAUAAGGGUAAAUUACAACCGCCCCUAACUAUGGUUAAAUUACGAAAAUCCACUCUUGUAUAGGUAAUUACAACUACCCCUAAACUAUAAUCUUUUUACACGUCCACCCUUGCGGAUUCAAAUUUAGUGGAAUCUUCUAUAUUAUUAUGUCAUUUGAGCUCCACAUUUUGAAGCAAUAUGAUCAUAAAAUGUGUUUAUUGGCUUGUAUAUAUCAGAUUUUAGUACAUCAGAAACUGUAUUUUUGCUAAAAUGAGUACAAACUAGAGAAAAUUUCACGAAAUCUAGAUAAUUAUGUUGAAUUUGACAUCAUAAGGGUGCAGGUGUAAGAAGAUUCAUAGCUGAGAGUAAUAGAUGUAAUUAUCCAAACAUGAGAUGUUUUUUUGUAAUUUAACCAUACAUCAGGGGGUCGUUGUAAUUUAUCCUAAAAAUAACAAUAAUUCUUUUACACGUCUAUUCUUGCGAAUUCAAAAUUUAGUGAAAUCUUCUAUAUUAUAUGGAAUAUUCUCAAUUUUGUACUCGUUUUAUGCCAUUUGAGCUCCACAUUUUGAAACAAGAUGAUCAUAAAAUGUGUUUAUUGGCUUGUAUAUAUCAGAUUUUAGUACAUCAGAAACUGUAUUUGUGCACAAAACGAGUAGAAACUAGAGAACAUUUCACGAAAUCUAGAUAAUUAUGUUGAAUUUGUCACAAUAAGGGUGGAGGUGUAAGAAGAUUCAUAGCUGAGAGUAAUAGAUGUAAUUAUCCAAACAUAAGGAGUUUUUUUGUAAUGUAAUCAUACUUGUGGUUGUAAUUUAAUCUAAAACUAAUAAUAAUAAUAUUUGAAUCAUUUCAAUAUUUUCACUACGAAUAAAAAAAAGGUAUCAUUUGGAUACUAAGAUAAUAUAAUACAAUCUUAUGAAAAUCUAAUUGUAUAAUUGGAUUAGGGAUGUUAAUUAUUACCCAAUUGAGUAUUGACCAAUAAAACAACAGAAGAGCUCCUUCCGCAAUCAAUGUGGGUCGGGCCGAAAAAUUAUUCGACCUGUCAGUAUCAAAUGAAAUUCAAAUAUUUAAUUAAGGGUAAAUUACAAAAACCCCCCUGAAGUAUGGUCAAAUUAUAAAAACCCCCCUCCUGUUUGGAUAAUUACAUAUACCCCCCUCAACAAUGAUUUUUUCUUACACCUCCACCCUUAUUGUGCCAAAUUCAAUAUAAUCAUCUAGAUUUCGUGUAAUGUGCUCUAGUUUGUAUUCGUUUUGUGUAAAAAUACAGUUUUCGAUGCACUACAAACUGAUAUACACAAGCUAAAAAUCACAUAUUAUGAUCAUCUUACUUCAUAAUGUAGAGUUUGAAUGGUAUAAAACGGGUACAAAAGUGAUACUAUUUCAUAUAAUCCCGAAAAUUCCACAAAAGUGAUAAUAUUUCAUAUAUUUCAUAUUACAAAUAUUAUUUUUCUUUCUUCAAUACCAAAUAAUUAAAACACCUCAAAACUCAUUUCCCUCACAAACCCCUCACCUUGAUAUUGUCAAGUGAGAGUUGAGACUUGAGAUUAAGUGAUAAAUCCUAUUAUUUAAUCAAACGGACCCUAAUUCAGUUGGUCAACACCGAAGUAGGCCGACCGAAUAUCUUUGUGGACUGUGGUUGAUUAAUUAGAAAACCGAAAAUAAAAAUAAAAUUUGCUACUAUCUAAAUUUAUUCUUGAAAAACUGACAAUUUAAGUUAUGGAAUUGAAAUUUGGCAUUUUCUUUGCCUCCGCCGCAGCGUCGCUAUACAUAUAUAAAACACGAAAAACAGAUUGAAUUAAAUCUGAUUUCAUCAUUUAUGAACUAAUGUUGAUUCAUAUUUUAAAAAGUCAAAUAUUAUCAUUGUUGGCCGAAAACCUACACGCAAGUGUACGUAUUGUACAAGUAAUAAAGUGGAUUUUUAAGUUCAAGUAUCGAUCCCAUAGAGAAUAUUUAAUUAUCUAAUCCUAUGCGCUAAAUUCUACCAAUUAUUAUCAAGCCCACCCUACAAAGUCGAUUUUAGAGAGAAUUAACUAGAUUAAAAUAAAUUAAAAAGCAAAUUAAAACGACAAAGCAAGAAAGCAGUUAAAACGAAGAUUUAAUCAAAGUAAACAAGCCUAAGAUUUUAUUCUUCCUCCUAUGUGAUUACUACUCCCCAAAUUCCUUCAAUUAUGCAAACAAUUAACCCGGAUUAUUAACCUGAGAUGCUAAAAUAAUCAUAACCCGCUUUCGCGUGUAUUACGAUUCUAAUACUCUAUAUUCAAUUACUAUAUUCCUAUGUAAUUAAUUCUAGAACACAACAUUAAGCACAAAUCUCAAUAAUGGCUACCUAAGAGAUUAACUAUAUUCCUAUGUUAAUACCACAAAUGCUCUUCUACCACAAUUCUAAUUAUUAACCUGAUCUUCCGAUUCAUGCGAUUAACAAUAACAUAAAAGCACAUAAGGUGAUCAAGUUCAUGCACUUAAUAAAACAAGUAGAAGAAAUAAUCCGGAAUUAAAACUUGCAUAAAAUCAUAGAAUUGGGUUCAUAAAUCCCACAUAGGGUUCCAAAUAAAAUCCUAGAAACUAAAGACUUAGCUACUCGUGGUUCUUAUGAUAAAGAAAAUAAAAGAAAUAAAUUAAAUAAGAAAAAUUAUGCUUGAGUUUUCGUUGAUCUUCGUUCCUCCCGUUUUGUGGUGUAAAAUUCCGUGCUUAUGAUGUAGAGACUUAUUGCUUUUAUAAGCUUUUCUUGAUAAGGAAGUAGUGGAAACCUAAUAGGAAUCAAUUUCCGCCAUUUUCCCCCAUCAUGACUUGUUCUUCGAUUUUCUCCAUGUUGCAAUCCGAAUUUUGGAAUGUUGUGUAAAUAAGAAUCGUAGCCCUUGAAAUUAGCUUUCCAAUGCCGCCAAAAUCAGCUGAUUUGGAGUUCGUAUGAGAGAUAUGCUCGAAAUGAUGGACACUGCCAAAAGUGUGGCGCGAUUCCUUCUUCCAAUUUGAUUUAUUUCCUUAUUUGCAACUUAUUCUUUUCUUUUUGAUCUAUUUUCCUUCAUGGACACCUAAUUCUUGUUUUUCACCUAUAAAACACAAAAUCAAUCAAUUAAAGCACAAAUAUAAUUAAAUCUAAACAAAAGAUCCACGUAAAGUAAGCGUAUUAGGCGUAAAAUCUACACUCAACAACGUGGCGUUAAUUUAUGUUGCUUUUCGAACAUAAAAAUUACCGAUAAUGGCAAUACAAAAAACUCGUGAAUGUGUUAUUUAAGAAUAAGAAAGAUUCCAUAUAAAGGCCCUAUUAGGGUAAUUAUUAAAUUUUCUUUAAAAUGUAGCACAAAGAAAUGUAACGUCUGCAUGUGUAGAAUUGGCAUUUUUUGGGAAUAUUCCUUCGAAUCAAAAAGAUUUUGCGAAAAAACACGCUUUAAUGGGGUUGGUGUAACACGGAAACAAACGUCUUGGGGAUUUUAGUAAUUAAUGAUAGGUGGGGAUACUUUUAUGUAAUUUAGUCUAAGUUAAGGGGUUCGUAAUUUACCCUAAAUAUAAACUAAUUAUUCGAGAAUUUUCAGGGUUGGCUAAGAUAGUAAAGAAGCACGACAAAAGAACCGGUGGAGUUUUACGAAUUGUUGGAUUUUGGCCCAAAUAUGUUCUGGGCCAUAAAGCCCAAUUGCCAUUAUUUAUAUACACCACCAUGAGUUGAGCCCAAGUUAGUUUAAGUGAGCCCAGCCCAUUUAGUAGCCAGAUCCAUCCGUUGGAUCUCAGGCUUAAUCUGGACCGUUCAGUGCCUCACUUAAAUAGCUCUUUCUCUCUCUUCGUUUCUCUCACUCUGAAACCCUAAAUCUUUCCCUCUCUUCUCCGCCGCUCCUGCUUCUGUCUUCUUCCUCCCUUGUACUGCCUUGACUGAGUUAUGGCUGGAGGUCAAAGUGCACGGUACAGUGCUGACUUUGACCCUCCGGUACAGCCUUCACCGGCUCUCUUUGACUUCAGUCCCUAUAUAUGUUGGCAUGGAGGCUGGAAGAGGGUAAGACAGAGAUAAACCCUAGUCAGACCUAAAUCCCUUCGUUUUCUUCUUUGUGAGUUCAGAAAUUGGGGUUUUGGUGAGUGGGUUAGCUUGAGUGCUUGAUCUGUUCUUCCUUCGUGGUUUUCUGGGUAUUUUAGGGUUUGAGUGUGUUUGAGAGAAAGGAGAUCUGUUCUCCUUGAGGUACUCUGGUGGUGUAUAUUUGGAAGUGUGAAUCUCUGGUGUGAAAUUGGAAGACUGAGCUGAAAUCUCAAUCUAUUUGAUUUCAGCCGUCAGAUCUUGAUUUCAAAGAUGAGAUGGCAAAGAUCAGAAAAGAAAUAGUCAACUUCCAUGGUGAAAUGUUUCUCCUUAUGAACUACAGCAAUAUCAAUUACACAGGUAACGUAAUUUUAAUUAGUUUAAAAAUCAAAUUCAUCAUCUCUAAAUAUAUAUAAACUAAUUAUUUCGAUAAUUUUCAGGGUUGGCUAAGAUAGUAAAGAAGCACGACAAAAGAACCGGUGGAGUUUUACGGUUACCGUUCAUCCAAAAAGUCUUGGAACAGCCGUUCUUCACGACCGACUUGAUCUCGAAGCUCGUAAAGGAAUGCGAAACCACAAUAGAAUCGGUGUUUCCACCGCCGGAAUAUUCCGGUACCGGAAUAUUCCAAGGAGAGAGGGCGGCUCCCGGGGAAGGGAUAUUCAAGAACACGGUGGCGGCUCUGAUGACGAUGGAGGAGAUGAGAAGGGGAAGCUCGACGUAGAGCCAUUUUUCGUUGCCGCCACUAGACUUACCUGAUUUUGAUGUUAUUCAAUCCUUGCAACUUCUUUCUCCUAUACAAAUUCCCUGAUUAAGAAUUAAUUAUUUGGAUAUUUCACUUGUUUAAUUAGAUAUGUGACAAUUUAAUCCACCUAAUUAUAAAAAUGGAGCAUGCAAUGGGAAUAUUCUUAUUUGGAUUCCCUUCCCAUAGUGUUUCAAUGCCACAUUAUAGU
RNAcentral lists this long non-coding RNA (8728 nucleotides) under Erythranthe guttata (spotted monkey flower). RNAcentral's name for it is "long non-coding RNA (EGUT_LNC001799)". The record is from RNAcentral. Lineage: Eukaryota; Viridiplantae; Streptophyta; Magnoliopsida; Lamiales; Phrymaceae.